Non-coding RNA from Schistosoma rodhaini, 45 nucleotides. Lineage: Eukaryota; Metazoa; Platyhelminthes; Trematoda; Strigeidida; Schistosomatidae. The record is from Rfam.
AGCCAGCUGAGGAGUCCCAAGUAGGACGAAACGCGCGUCCUGGAU